UGCCUGUAAUCCUAGCUACUUGGAUCCCUGAGGCACACACCACCGCCCAAUUUUACUUCAGGUAGAUUUACAACCAGACCCUUUGGUGAUAGCAAUGUGAGAACAGGAAGUGCAGGUUCAGAUUUUUCUGUCCUAAAAAUAUUUUUUGCAGCUUCUCAAUUGCACAGGCUUAUGGAAUGGUCGGAAUGGAGUUUCCGUGUUGAACUUCCCAGGAAGAAUCUUUUCUACCUUGUACCUGUAAUUGGUCAUUUUUCCUCCGGCAUCUGAGAAGAGGUUAGCUCAACAGCUCCCAUAGCUGGGUAGAUCUAAAGCCUCCAGGCCAGUCCUUUGAAGGGGAAAGCCUGGACUCACCUGCUGAUUCAGCAGAACAUUAAACUCCUUCCGUCCUGCAGAAAUGAGAUCCUUAUUGGCCUUAAGAAGAGCCAUCUGCCUGGAUAGAGAAAAAGACACAUUUUGCAGAUAAGCCAUCUGUAAGCGCGUGGAUCAAAUUCCACCAGGCUGCGCUCCACAAGAAUGGAAAUGAAUAGCUGGGCAUGGUGGUGUGUGCCUGUAGUCCCAGCUAC
This is an RNA transcript of Saimiri boliviensis boliviensis (Bolivian squirrel monkey), 563 nucleotides long. It is a transcript of the gene named clustered mitochondria protein homolog, with no coding region annotated. NCBI's taxonomy places the organism in Eukaryota, Metazoa, Chordata, Mammalia, Primates, Cebidae. The record is from RefSeq and is a predicted model, not a curated record.